RNAcentral lists this transfer RNA (73 nucleotides) under Chlorella vulgaris. It matches the Rfam family "tRNA". Rfam says of the family: Transfer RNA (tRNA) molecules are approximately 80 nucleotides in length. Their secondary structure includes four short double-helical elements and three loops (D, anti-codon, and T loops). Lineage: Eukaryota; Viridiplantae; Chlorophyta; Trebouxiophyceae; Chlorellales; Chlorellaceae. The record is from Rfam by way of RNAcentral.
GUUUAGAUAGCUCAGUUGGUAGAGCAAAGGACUGAAAAUCCUUGUGUCGGCAGUUCGAAUCUGCCUCUAGACA